GAACGCUGGCGGCGUGCUUAAUACAUGCAAGUCGAGCGGUGAACCCGACUGAAAGCCUUCGGGCUUGACGUUGGGGGAUCAGCGGCGGAUGGGUGAGUAACGCGUGGGUACCUGCCCUAAAGUCUGGGAUAACAACUCGAAAGGGUUGCUAAUACCGGAUGUGACCGAGAGGUUAAAGGCAGAGAUGUCGCUUUAGGAUGGGCCCGCGUCCCAUUAGCUAGUUGGUGAGGUAAGGGCUCACCAAGGCUGCGAUGGGUAGCCGGCCUGAGAGGGUGGACGGCCACACUGGGACUGAGACACGGCCCAGACUCCUACGGGAGGCAGCAGUAGGGAAUUUUCCGCAAUGGACGGAAGUCUGACGGAGCGACGCCGCGUGGGGGAAGAAGGCCUUCGGGUUGUAAACCCCUGUCUUCAGGGACGAAGAGGGUGUGGGAGACACACCGAAGCCGGUACCUGAGGAGGAAGCCCCGGCUAACUACGUG
This 482-nucleotide ribosomal RNA is filed under the name uncultured bacterium. RNAcentral describes it as "bacterial SSU rRNA". It matches the Rfam family "Bacterial small subunit ribosomal RNA", at positions 31 to 507 of the family's 1533-position model. The record is from RNAcentral.